AGUGAACGCUGGCGGUAGGCCUAACACAUGUCAGUCGAACGGCAGCACAGUAAGAGCUUGCUCUUACGGGUGGCGAGUGGCGGACGGGUGAGGAAUACAUCGGAAUCUACUUUUUCGUGGGGGAUAACGUAGGGAAACUUACGCUAAUACCGCAUACGACCUACGGGUGAAAGCAGGGGAUCUUCGGACCUUGCGCGAUUGAAUGAGCCGAUGUCGGAUUAGCUAGUUGGCGGGGUAAAGGCCCACCAAGGCGACGAUCCGUAGCUGGUCUGAGAGGAUGAUCAGCCACACUGGAACUGAGACACGGUCCAGACUCCUACGGGAGGCAGCAGUGGGGAAUAUUGGACAAUGGGCGCAAGCCUGAUCCAGCCAUACCGCGUGGGUGAAGAAGGCCUUCGGGUUGUAAAGCCCUUUUGUUGGGAAAGAAAAGCAGCAGGUUAAUACCCCGCUGUUCUGACGGUACCCAAAGAAUAAGCACCGGCUAACUUCGUG
This 492-nucleotide ribosomal RNA is filed under the name uncultured bacterium. Its description in RNAcentral is "partial 16S ribosomal RNA". It matches the Rfam family "Bacterial small subunit ribosomal RNA", at positions 29 to 507 of the family's 1533-position model. The record is from RNAcentral.